RNAcentral lists this ribosomal RNA (253 nucleotides) under uncultured bacterium. RNAcentral describes it as "partial 16S ribosomal RNA". It matches the Rfam family "Bacterial small subunit ribosomal RNA", at positions 524 to 776 of the family's 1533-position model. The record is from RNAcentral.
UACGGGGGGGGCAAGCGUUGUUCGGAAUUACUGGGCGUAAAGGGCUCGUAGGUGGCCAAUUAAGUCAGACGUGAAAUCCCCAGGCUUAACCUGGGAACUGCGUCUGAUACUGGUUGGCUUGAAUUCGGGAGAGGGAUGCGGAAUUCCAGGUGUAGCGGUGAAAUGCGUAGAUAUCUGGAGGAACACCGGUGGCGAAGGCGGCAUCCUGGACCGGUAUUGACGCUGAGGCGCGAAAGCCAGGGGAGCAAACGGG